RNAcentral lists this ribosomal RNA (482 nucleotides) under uncultured bacterium. RNAcentral describes it as "bacterial SSU rRNA". It matches the Rfam family "Bacterial small subunit ribosomal RNA", at positions 57 to 530 of the family's 1533-position model. The record is from RNAcentral.
GCAAGUCGAACGGUAACAUGACUAGCUUGCUAGUUGAUGACGAGUGGCGGACGGGUGAGUAACGCGUAGGAAUCUACCCAGUAGCGGGGGAUAAGCCAGAGAAAUUUGGUCUAAUACCGCAUACGCCCUUCGGGGGAAAGCAGGGGAUCUUCGGACCUUGCACUAUUGGAUGAGCCUGCGUGAGAUUAGCUUGUUGGUGAGGUAAUGGCUCACCAAGGCGACGAUCUCUAGCUGGUCUGAGAGGAUGAUCAGCCACACUGGAACUGAGACACGGUCCAGACUCCUACGGGAGGCAGCAGUGGGGAAUAUUGCACAAUGGGCGCAAGCCUGAUGCAGCCAUGCCGCGUGUGUGAAGAAGGCCCUAGGGUUGUAAAGCACUUUCAGCAGUGAGGAAAGGUUAGUAGUUAAUACCUGCUAGCUGUGACGUUAACUGCAGAAGAAGCACUGGCUAACUCCGUGCCAGCAGCCGCGGUAAUACGGAG